Molecule: RNase P RNA, 337 nt
Filed under: uncultured Halofilum sp.
Lineage: Bacteria; Pseudomonadati; Pseudomonadota; Gammaproteobacteria; Chromatiales; Ectothiorhodospiraceae
Description: Bacterial RNase P class A
Rfam family: Bacterial RNase P class A
About the family: Ribonuclease P (RNase P) is a ubiquitous endoribonuclease, found in archaea, bacteria and eukarya as well as chloroplasts and mitochondria. Its best characterised activity is the generation of mature 5'-ends of tRNAs by cleaving the 5'-leader elements of precursor-tRNAs.
Source: RNAcentral
GAGUCGGCCAGGCAGCCGCUCCCGCCCGCGGGCGGGGGAGGAAAGUCCGGGCUCCACAGGGCAGGGUGCCAGGUAACGCCUGGGCGGCGUGAGCCGACGGAAAGUGCAGCAGAGAGCAGACCGCCAUUCUUCGGAAUGGUAAGGGUGAAACGGUGCGGUAAGAGCGCACCGCGUCGGUGGCAACAUCGACGGCACGGCAAACCCCACCCGGAGCAAGGCCAAAUAGGGGAACGCUCACGUGGCCCGCGUGGUUCCCGGGUAGGCUGCUUGAGGCGGGCGGUGACGCCCGCCCGAGAUGGAUGGCUGCCCACGACAGAACCCGGCUUAUGGCCGGCUC